Molecule: small RNA, 648 nt
Filed under: Pongo abelii (Sumatran orangutan)
Lineage: Eukaryota; Metazoa; Chordata; Mammalia; Primates; Hominidae
Description: retained intron
Source: RNAcentral
GCCAGAUGAGGAACCCCAUGUCCAUUGGAAAUGGCCCAGCACUGGGGUCUGCUGUGAGAGCAUGGCCUGGGUGUGGAGGCUGUCAGCUCAACUGCGGUGCUCGCAGAGGGCCGCACGAUACCCCUCCCUGGCUGCAUGGUCCCUGUCUUUGUGUGUGCUGAGUCUGCAUCACUUUGUAAAGCCCCACUCUUCUGCCCAGGUACCAAGGAAAGGCAGAUGCCCCCGUGGCCUUGGUGGUUCACAUGGCCCCAGAAUCUGUGCUGGUGGACAGCAGGUACCAGCAGUGGAUGGAGAGGUUUGGGCCUGACACCCAGCACUUGGUCCUGAAUGAGAACUGUGCCUCAGUUCACAACCUUCGCAGCCACAAGAUUCAAACCCAGCUCAACCUCAUCCACCCGGACAUCUUCCCCCUGCUCACCAGUUUCCCCUGUAAGGUAGUGUCUCAGACCGGCCCCUUGUCGGCCCAGCUCUCGUCCCCUCUCUUUCUCUCCAUGAAUGUGUUUUGUCUCUUUCAGGAGGUCCCCACCCUCAGUGUGCCCGUGGUUCAGGGUGAAUGCCUCCUCAAGUACCAGCUCCGUCCCAGGAGGGAGUGGCAGAGGGAUGCCAUUAUUACUUGCAAUCCUGAGGAAUUCAUAGUUGAGGCGCUGC